Nannospalax galili (Upper Galilee mountains blind mole rat) is the source of this 132-nucleotide small nucleolar RNA. The record is from Ensembl. NCBI's taxonomy places the organism in Eukaryota, Metazoa, Chordata, Mammalia, Rodentia, Spalacidae.
GACUUUCUUGUGCUUACCACAGGCUGUGUUCUUAUACUGACUGAUAGAAAGAGGAGGCAAAGAAAACCUGUCCCAUGUACACCUCAGCCCGUGCCACUGUGUAUGGUCUGUAUUGUGAAUGGGGAGACAUGG